GACGAACGCUGGCGGCGUGCCUAAAACAUGCAAGUCGAACGAUCCAGUUUACUGGAUAGUGGCGAACGGCGGAGUAAGACAUAAGCAACGUGCCCUAAAGACCGGGAUAGUCAGUGGAAACGCUGGGGUAAUACCGGAUGUGGCCACUCUUUGGCAUCAUUGAGUGAUCAAAUGGUUUUUCGCUUUAGGAGCGGCUUAUGGCCUAUCAGGUAGUUGGUGGGGUAAUGGCCUACCAAGCCGACGACGGGUAGCGGGGUCUGAGAGGAUGAUCCGCCCGAGUGGGACUGAGACACGGCCCACACACCUACGGGUGGCAGCAGUUGGGAAUCUUGCACAAUGGGGGAAACCCUGAUGCAGCGACGCCGCGUGGAGGAUGAAGGAUUUAGGUCUGUAAACUCCUUUUAUCGGGAAAGACUUAGGACGGUACCCGAUGAAUAAGGACCGGCUAACUACGCGCCAG
This 460-nucleotide ribosomal RNA is filed under the name uncultured bacterium. RNAcentral describes it as "bacterial SSU rRNA". It matches the Rfam family "Bacterial small subunit ribosomal RNA", at positions 28 to 511 of the family's 1533-position model. The record is from RNAcentral.